UUAGGGGGAUAAACAAAAAGCCAUGUUGUGGUUUGUUAAUUAUAUUAACCUCUUAUUGGUAGAAGGGACAACACAGUCAUAACAUAAAGGGACCAACUUAAUACCUUAUCAUGUAAGGGUUAAACCAGUGAUUACCUGUAGCUACAGUGUCUAUUGGUAAUAUGCUAUUUUGUAUCAACUGUUCUGUCAAAAAUGUCUUUGUACAUACGCUAAUUUUUG
Pelobates cultripes (western spadefoot toad) is the source of this 219-nucleotide non-coding RNA. The record is from the annotation of a GenBank genome assembly. Lineage: Eukaryota; Metazoa; Chordata; Amphibia; Anura; Pelobatidae.